RNAcentral lists this ribosomal RNA (253 nucleotides) under uncultured bacterium. RNAcentral's name for it is "partial 16S ribosomal RNA". It matches the Rfam family "Bacterial small subunit ribosomal RNA", at positions 524 to 776 of the family's 1533-position model. The record is from RNAcentral.
UACGGAGGAUCCAAGCGUUAUCCGGAUUUAUUGGGUUUAAAGGGUGCGUAGGCGGCCUGUUAAGUCAGGGGUGAAAGACGGUAGCUCAACUAUCGCAGUGCCCUUGAUACUGAUGGGCUUGAAUGGACUAGAGGUAGGCGGAAUGAGACAAGUAGCGGUGAAAUGCAUAGAUAUGUCUCAGAACACCGAUUGCGAAGGCAGCUUACUAUGGUCUUAUUGACGCUGAGGCACGAAAGCGUGGGAAUCAAACAGG